Eurypyga helias (sunbittern) is the source of this 46-nucleotide non-coding RNA. The record is from Rfam. NCBI's taxonomy places the organism in Eukaryota, Metazoa, Chordata, Aves, Eurypygiformes, Eurypygidae.
CCAAAGGCUCUUUUCAGAGCCACCCACAGAGUCAAAAAAGAGUUGU